CAGCCGCCGCGGUAAUACGGAGGGUGCAAGCGUUAAUCGGAAUUACUGGGCGUAAAGCGCACGCAGGCGGUCUGACAAGUCAGAUGUGAAAUCCCUGAGCUUAACUUAGGAAUUGCAUUCGAUACUGGGAAGCUAGAGUAUGGGAGAGGAUGGUAGAAUUCCAGGUGUAGCGGUGAAAUGCGUAGAGAUCUGGAGGAAUACCGAUGGCGAAGGCAGCCAUCUGGCCUAAUACUGACGCUGAGGUACGAAAGCAUGGGGAGCAAACAGGAUUAGAUACCCCGGUAGUCCCUGUCUCUUAUAC
Molecule: ribosomal RNA, 301 nt
Filed under: uncultured bacterium
Lineage: Bacteria
Description: partial 16S ribosomal RNA
Rfam family: Bacterial small subunit ribosomal RNA
Source: RNAcentral